Molecule: ribosomal RNA, 367 nt
Filed under: uncultured bacterium
Lineage: Bacteria
Description: bacterial SSU rRNA
Rfam family: Bacterial small subunit ribosomal RNA
Source: RNAcentral
GGAGGAUCCAAACGUUAUCCGGAAUCAUUGGGUUUAAAGGGUCCGUAGGCGGCUUAAUAAGUCAGCGGUGAAAGUUUUUGGCUUAACCAAAAAAUUGCCAUUGAUACUGUUAGGCUUGAAUUUUUGUGAAGUAACUAGAAUAUGUAGUGUAGCGGUGAAAUGCUUGGAUAUUACAUGGAAUACCAAUUGCGAAGGCAGGUUACUAACAAACGAUUGACGCUGAUGGACGAAAGCGUGGGUAGCGAACAGGAUUAGAUACCCUGGUAGUCCACGCCGUAAACGAUGGAUACUAGCUGUUUGGUCGUAAGACUGAGUGGCUAAGCGAAAGUGAUAAGUAUCCCACCUGGGGAGUACGAACGCAAGUUUG